UGUUUCAAAGCAAGCGUUUUUCUAAACUUCGUGUUUGCGCUGGGUCUCGAAAGUCUGCGCGCGCGCGCGCCCGCCCCCCUGCGCAGUCACGCGUUACCGAAGACAUAUGUGCCCCUGGAGCACAAAACCAGACAUAAGGGUACAUUUUUUGUAACUGAGAUGUAUACAUCAUCUGAAAGCUGAAUAAAUAAUCUUUCCAUUGAUGUCUGGUUUGUUAGGAGAACAAUAUUUGAAAAUCUGGAAUCUGAAAUUGCAAGAAAAAUAAAUAAAUAAAAAAUCUAAAUACUGAGAAAAUCGCCUUUAAAAUUGUCCAAAUCAGGUUCUUAACAAUGCAUCCCUGCUAAACAAACAAAAACAAUAGACACCAUCACAGAAUUUGUAAUGGUUUUACUGGUUAUAAUGGGGCUUGUAUUGGUUUUAAUGGAGACUGUAAUGGUGCCUGUGGGUCUCUACUGGUAACUGGUCACCUUCUGUUGGUCGCUUCUUAAAGCCAAUAAAUCCAAAUAAUGGAAUAUGUCCCAAAACACGCUGCAGAAAACCAUUAUUUUAAUUAUUGGCUUUUAUGGUUAAAAGUUGAUGAUUUGUAAUGUUUGUAAUGGUCUUUGAAGUGGAAAGCAUAUAGAAUUUCUGUGAUGGUUUCUAUUAUUAUUAUUAUUAUUAUUAUUAUUAUUAUUAUUAUUAUUUUCAUUAUUUUUUUUUUAGCAGGGAUGUGUCACGGUUGGUAAACCGUGGUCUCAGGUUUUCACUAUGUGGGUGGAGUUUUGUGUGUCGCUCGUCUGCACUGAUUGUUUCAUGUGGGCGUCGCCGUUGAUUGUUCAUUUGCACCAGCUGUUACUCAUCACCUGAUCCCUAUAUAUAUGCCCUGUCUUUCGUCUUGUGUUUGUCAGAGCAUUUUAUGCAGUUUCCCGUCUGGUUGCCUGAUUCUCGUCCUUGUUUCUCUGUGCUGUUUGAUUCGCUGUUGUCUUCCCCGGAACCCCGUCCACUCUUCACCACCGGAUGCACCUACUACCACCAUGGACUGCUCAUCUCAGGCCUGUGUCACGCUCUCCUGCUGCAUCUACUCACCGCCACUUCCUGGAUCAUCGUCUUCCAUCGCUGUUACCACCUGUUUGUCAGAGCGUUUUAUGCAGUUUCCCGUCUGGUUGCCUGGUUCUCGUCCUUGUUUCUCUGUGCUGUUUGAUUCGCUGUUGUCUUCCCCGGAACCCCGUCCACUCUUCACCACCGGAUGCACCUACUACCACCACGGACUGCUCAUCUCAGGCCUGUGUCACGCUCUCCUGCUGCAUCUACUCACCGCCACUUCCUGGAUCAUCGUCUUCCAUCGCUGUUACCACCUGUUGUUUCCCUUGGACUCAGUUAUACAUUCCUGUUCUCAAUAAACUUUACAUUUAACUCUUGCAUUUGCUUCCUCACCCAUUUGUUACCGUUACAGGAUGUUACUAAUCAAAAAUUAAGUUUUGAUAUAUUUACGGUAGGAAAUUUACUAAAUAUCUUCAUGGAACAUGAUCUUUACUUAAUAUCCUAAUGAUUUUUGGCAUAAAAGAGAAAUGUAUAAUUGUGACCCAUACAAUGUAUUGUUGUCUAUUGCUACAAAUAUACCUGUGCUACUGAUGACUGCUUCUGUGCUGCAGGGACACAGAUGAGGAGUUUCAGCAACAUUAUUACACACAUUCAUCAUUUCAUUAUUUAAUAAACCUGUUCUCUCGAAAUACUCGUCA
Cyprinus carpio (common carp) is the source of this 1718-nucleotide long non-coding RNA. Lineage: Eukaryota; Metazoa; Chordata; Actinopteri; Cypriniformes; Cyprinidae. The record is from Ensembl.